This 326-nucleotide ribosomal RNA is filed under the name Bacillus wiedmannii. RNAcentral's name for it is "bacterial SSU rRNA". It matches the Rfam family "Bacterial small subunit ribosomal RNA", at positions 1 to 322 of the family's 1533-position model. Lineage: Bacteria; Bacillati; Bacillota; Bacilli; Caryophanales; Bacillaceae. The record is from RNAcentral.
GUUUUGAAUUCAUGGCUCAGGAUGAACGCUGGCGGCGUGCCUAAUACAUGCAAGUCGAGCGAAUGAAUUAAGAGCUUGCUCUUAUGAAGUUAGCGGCGGACGGGUGAGUAACACGUGGGUAACCUGCCCAUAAGACUGGGAUAACUCCGGGAAACCGGGGCUAAUACCGGAUAACAUUUUGCGCUGCAUGGUGUGAAAUUGAAAGGCGGCUUCGGCUGUCACUUAUGGAUGGACCCGCGUCGCAUUAGCUAGUUGGUGAGGUAACGGCUCACCAAGGCAACGAUGCGUAGCCGACCUGAGAGGGUGAUCGGCCACACUGGGACUGA